AAUGGGGACAACCUUCCGAAAGGAGGGCUAAUACCGAAUGAGACCACAGUAGCUCCGGCUACAGGGGUUGAAGAUGGCCUCUAUUUAUACGCUAUCGCUUAGAGAUGGGCUUAUGCACCAUUAGCUUGUUGGUGAGGUAACGGCUCACCAAGGCUCUGAUGGUUAACUGAUCUGAGAGGUUGAUCAGUCACACUGGAACUGAGACACGGUCCAG
Molecule: ribosomal RNA, 214 nt
Filed under: uncultured bacterium
Lineage: Bacteria
Description: partial 16S ribosomal RNA
Rfam family: Bacterial small subunit ribosomal RNA
Source: RNAcentral